CAGCAGCCGCGGUAAAACAGAGGGUGCGAGCGUUAAUCGGAUUUACUGGGCGUAAAGCGUGCGUAGGCGGCUUUUUAAGUCGGAUGUGAAAUCCCUGAGCUUAACUUAGGAAUUGCAUUCGAUACUGGGAAGCUAGAGUAUGGGAGAGGAUGGUAGAAUUCCAGGUGUAGCGGUGAAAUGCGUAGAGAUCUGGAGGAAUACCGAUGGCGAAGGCAGCCAUCUGGCCUAAUACUGACGCUGAGGUACGAAAGCAUGGGGAGCAAACAGGAUUAGAUACCCGAGUAGUCCCUGUCUCUUAUAC
RNAcentral lists this ribosomal RNA (301 nucleotides) under uncultured bacterium. Its description in RNAcentral is "partial 16S ribosomal RNA". It matches the Rfam family "Bacterial small subunit ribosomal RNA", at positions 509 to 807 of the family's 1533-position model. The record is from RNAcentral.